AUUGAACGCUGGCGGCAGGCCUAACACAUGCAAGUCGAGCGGAUGAAGGGAGCUUGCUCCUGGAUUCAGCGGCGGACGGGUGAGUAAUGCCUAGGAAUCUGCCUGGUAGUGGGGGAUAACGUCCGGAAACGGGCGCUAAUACCGCAUACGUCCUGAGGGAGAAAGUGGGGGAUCUUCGGACCUCACGCUAUCAGAUGAGCCUAGGUCGGAUUAGCUAGUUGGUGGGGUAAAGGCCUACCAAGGCGACGAUCCGUAACUGGUCUGAGAGGAUGAUCAGUCACACUGGAACUGAGACACGGUCCAGACUACUACGGGAGGCAGCAGUGGGGAAUAUUGGACAAUGGGCGAAAGCCUGAUCCAGCCAUGCCGCGUGUGGGAAGAAGGUCUUCGGAUUGUAAAGCACUUUAAGUUGGGAGGAAGGGCAGUAAGUUAAUACCUUGCUGUUUUGACGUUACCAACAGAAUAAGCACCGGCUAACUUCGUG
RNAcentral lists this ribosomal RNA (484 nucleotides) under uncultured bacterium. RNAcentral describes it as "partial 16S ribosomal RNA". It matches the Rfam family "Bacterial small subunit ribosomal RNA", at positions 30 to 507 of the family's 1533-position model. The record is from RNAcentral.